Dreissena polymorpha is the source of this 489-nucleotide long non-coding RNA. RefSeq lists it as uncharacterized. The transcript is spliced from 2 exons. The record is from RefSeq and is a predicted model, not a curated record. Lineage: Eukaryota; Metazoa; Mollusca; Bivalvia; Myida; Dreissenidae.
AGUACGGGAUCUACCAAGAAAACGGACUCAAGACGAAGUGCGUUUCGAUAAGACUUAGGCAGAGACACGUCAGAUCACUCUGACAAUCUAAUGCAGUUGUGUGCCCCUGUCAGCUCGGAACAUAUCCUCAGGACUGGGGUACGGUCUUCGUUGGAACAAGGGGCCAUGAGCAGUCGAGUCCAUCCCUUUUUGGAGUCGCGAGAUUGUUCAAGACCUGCCAACCAAUGAAAAGAUUAUUAGACAAUAUCAGUGGACUGUUUGAAUUUAUCAUUUGCACAUUAAAUGUGAGCUUUAGGAAAUAGGAACACUUUAAGAAUCAGUGACAUGUACUUUAAAAAAAUUAAUAAAUCAUUUCUUGAAUAUUUGGUGAUAUUGAAUGUUAUUUCAUAACAUUAAAUGUGACAAACAAAUUAUACAGAAAUACUAUUUGUUCGAAAGUGUAUACAUAGGGAGAGAGAAGCAUGUUUUGUGAAAAAAAAUAAAAAUAUU